UAUCUAGGAGUUCCUAGGUAGAAGUUGCAUUGGGUAGGGAUUAAGCGAGGAGUUGUAAACGGGGGAGUUUAGCUCUGAAUUAAUACUGUUGAUAAUGAAUUUCCUCCUGGAUUGGUAUCCCCCAGAUUAGGCUGUUAGGCUGAACUGGGUUAACAAUUAUGUGUGUUGUUUAUGCUUUUCAGUAUCUGUUUUUAAUGCUCUGCUUUAUU
This 209-nucleotide long non-coding RNA is filed under the name Trifolium pratense (red clover). RNAcentral's name for it is "long non-coding RNA (TPRA_LNC005436)". Lineage: Eukaryota; Viridiplantae; Streptophyta; Magnoliopsida; Fabales; Fabaceae. The record is from RNAcentral.